AAGGAAUUGAUUGACCUAGGAAUGCUUCAAGAAGAAGAACAAGGGACUGAAGUAAGAGUCCCUGCAUCGUAUCUCCGGUUAUGUAUUCUUAAAUUGGAGAAACAAGAUUUUGUUUCUAAAACUGCAAACUCACCUGUGCGUUUAGGGAUCAGAGAUGAUGGAAGGGAUAUCUAUCCUAACGUUGAAGGCCUUCUAAUUCAAUCUCUAUUUAUUAUUAGUACACACCGUGAUUCUUCUUUUGAUUCUCCCCGAGGCCUUUCACGGGCCUAUAUGAGAAAUGUUUGUGGUAUGCACUUUCUGUUGGUGUUGGAUUUGGAUGGCUGGAUAGAGCGCUUACCUGAUGAAUUGGGAGACUUGAUUCACCUGAGGUACUUAGGCUUGUUUUACUCACAACUAGAUGAGCUUCCAGGGACUUUAGGGAAUCUUAAAAGACUGCAAACUUUGGAUAUAAGGGGGUGUGGAAAACUACGCAAACUACCAAUACAAAUUCUGCAUAUCCAGCAGUUGAGACACCUUCUAAUGUCCCACUGCUUUAAUGAUGGUGAAAUUAGAGUUCCGAAGGGCAUUGGAACAUUGGUAAAUCUUCACACUUUGUCUGGUAUUUAUGGUGGAGAUGAUAUUGCCAUGGAAUUGAUUGCCUUAACCCAGCUACGAGAGCUCGGCGUUAAGCGUGUGAGUGCCGAUCAUGCCAGUGAGCUGUUUGCAGCUAUAAAGAAGAUGGAGAACCUCACAUCCCUAUCGCUAGAAGCAGAGGGAAACUACUUUGAAGGUACUAUUUUUCCUGAAUCGGAUGCGUUUUCUCCUCCGCCACUUCUUCAAGAGUUUUCCUUACGUGGGGGUUUAAUUGAGAUGCCCGUUUGGUUUGCCUCCAUGGAAAACCUCACCCACCUAUCAUUAGGGUAUUCUAAUCUAUCCGAGAAUCCAACUUCAGUCCUUCAGUUGAUUCCCAAAUUGAAGCAUCUUAAACUCUGGGAAGCCUACAAGGCAAGGCACAUUGGUAAAGAAUUUUGCAAUGCAGGUGGUUUCCCUGUGCUGGAAACUCUCACAAUUGCUUCUGCGUUCCUGGCGGAAUGGACUGAAAUUGAAACUGGAGCUUUUCCACGUUUAAGAUAUCUUUGUUUUUAUUGCUGUCCAAGCUUGAUGUUUCUUCCUGAAGGGUUGCAGAACAUUUCCACACUUCAAGAUCUGUGUUUCUUCCCCUGGAAUCCAGACCUUAAAAGGCGAUUGAAGGGUGAAGAGAAUUACAAGAUCAAGCAUGUCCGAGUAUUUGGGAAGGUUUGAGAACCGUUGAUUUUCCAACCAAGAAAUGGAAAAACAUCAACCACAAUAGUUUCCAGAGGAAGUUUUUCGAGGAUGAAAUGCUUUUGCUUUACUCCUCAAAUAUCAUCUCCUGCUUUCUGUUCAUUUACUUCAAUAUUCUGGUGAUGUGUGCUAUCCUCUACUGUCUUGUAUACCUAAAUUUGUGCAAUCUCCAGCGGAGAAACCAGUGUCCUAGACUCCAAAAAAUCUAUCUUGAUGAUGAACGAUGUGUUUAUCUAUUUGCAUUUCCUUAAUAUCUGGAUUAUUAUCUAAUUAUUCUAUAGAAUUGCCCUUCUUCUAGAUUUCUCUCUAAGGAUUGAAUCAUUAGAAAAUCAAGGUUUUUUAUUCCUGUUUUUUUCGCUUGAAGUGGACUUGCUAGGUAAGAAACACGUCUAUUAUAUUGGCAGCAGUUCAUAUAAAUUAUACAUCCCAUUCCGUGUUUACAUAGAAUCAAAGGCGUAACAAAUAUUGUUUAUGCCUUUUAUUUUAUUCAAUUAAUUAAUUUUAUAUAUGUUUAUUUUUUUAUUAUUUAUUUAAAUAAAAUAUUAAUUUUUGUGAACAGAUUGUCUUGAAGAUCCAAGUUGCAAGAUCAAAUAUCUUGGUCUAUAUGCGACUUUUAACUUUUUAAUUUUUAUUUUUAUUUAUCAGUAAUGAUUAUUUAUUUAUUUAUUAACAUAUGUAUUUUUUAAUUUAUUUUAUUAGAUGUAUAAAUAAGUUUUUUUUAAUUUUGAUUAAAAACAAAACAUUGAAAAAAUCUACAUAUUUAUUUUUUUAUAAAAACCUCAAAGUUAAAUAGCUAUUAAAAACUAGCCGCCAUUGUAGGGUUUGAUAGAAAAGAUAUUGGGCUGGUAUAUCAUAUUAUUACUGUUAUUAACUAUUACCACUAUAUACUAAAAAAUAACAACAGUGCAUUAUUGUGCUCAAUUUGGACAGGACUUUUCAAGAACAAUGUUGUUUUUUUUUUUUUCAUUUUGAUCAUCAAAUAUUAUUAUGAUUAUCAGUAUUAUUGUUAUAUUCUUGCAAGUUAAAUUUAAAUUUACUAUUUUUUUAUAAGUUUAAUUUAUGCAUAUAUGAUCCCCAUAGUCUAAGAAUUAUAAGUUUCAAUCCUAGAUUUAUUUAUUUAUUUAUUUUAGUCUUCGAGUAUUGAAAGAUGUUAGAAAAAAAAAAAAAAAAGUCAGUUGAUCACGUUCUUGUUAUCAAAAAAACCAAUCUUGUUAUCAAUGAAUUUGUCUUACAAAUAUAAGUUCUAUGAAGAAGGUUUAGAACUUUUAUCCUGUUAAAAACACAUAUCAAGACUUAGAAAGUUUUUUUAUUUAUUUAUUUGGUUUGAUUUUAGAUUUUAGACAGAUUAAAUGGUGUUUUGGAGUUAACAUGAGUUUAAUUAGGUUCUUAAAAUGUUUCUUUUUUAAUGUUUUGAGAUAAAAAAUAAAUUGAAAAAUAAUAUUUGAAGCUGCAAAACUCAUACUUUAAAUUCAAAUCAUCAAAAUGGUAAAAAUUCAAACUAGAAUGUGGCACCCAUUGUUUCUUAUUAAAAAAGGAAUAUUAGAAAAAAUAAAGCAUGGAAUAAAAGUUUUUUUUUAUGGUAAAAUGAACCAUUACUUUGAAUUAUGAUAUAAGAAGGUAAUAUGCAAUUGUUUUUUUUUAAAAAAAUGUUCAUAAAUAUUAAAUGAGAAUGAAACUAUUUUGUUAUGUUUUAUUGCAUAAUGUUUACAGAAUUUUGAUGAUUAAUUAUUCUUUAUGUUUUUCUUCUGUUGUGUACAAAUUAUUGAUUCAUGAUUUUUUAUAUUUGUAAUGAAAAUUGCUUUUCAAAUCAUGAUAAAUCUUUAUUUAAAAAACAAUACUUUUAUUAAAAAACAUGGUUUUUGAAAACCAAGAAGAAAUACAUGAAUAAUAAAAGUGAUUUUUAAUUGAAAACGAUAUAUAUUUUUCUUUUUUAAUUCAAAUCAUUAAUAUUUUUAUAAAUAAAUAUUUUAAUUAUUUGUAGUUUUUAUUCAAAAACAUGCUACUAAUUAAAAAAAAAAACAUGUUCUUGUCAUACAAAAAUACAUGAAUAAGAAAUGAAAAACUCACUUAACAUAAUUUUUACACGACUAUUUGUUUUUCUCUCCACGGAAUCGGUUGGAAGUGGACUUGACAGUUAAGAAACACGUCUAUUAGAUUGGCAACAGUUCAUAUAAAUUAUACAUCCCAUUCCGUGUUUACAUAGAAUCAAAGGCGUAGCAAAUAUUGUUUUGGCCUUUUAUUUUAUUUAAUUAAUUAAUUUUAUAUAUGUUUAUUUUUGUAUUAUUUAUUUAAAUAAAAAAUUAAUCUUUGUGCAUAGAGUUAUUAAACACGAUUGUCUUGAAGAUCCAAGUUACAAGAUUAAAUAUUUUAUCUAUAUGUGAAUUUUAACUUUUUAAUUUUUAUUUUUAUUUAUCGUUAAUGAUCAUUUAUUUAUUAACAUAUGCAUUUCUCAAUUUAUUUUAUUAUAUGUAUAAAUAAGUUUUUUUUUUAAUUUUGAUUUAAAAAAAACAUUGAAAAAAUCUACAUAUUUAUUUUUUUAUAAAAAAAUUCCAACUCUAAAUCAAAUAGCUAUUAAAAACUAACCAAUGUAGGUUUGAUAUAGAGGAUAUUGGGCUGGUAUAUCAUAUUAUUACUGUUACACCAUUAAAUAGUUUUACCGACGGUUUAAGUUCGUCGGUGUGAGGCACAAAAACCAUCGGUAAUAUUUUUACCGACGGGCUCAUCGACAAAACACGUUAGUUGAAAUUUUAAUUGUUGGUAAUUUUUCUUUUCAUCACUAAUUCUAUUAAUAAUUAAAAAAAACCAAAUAUCGACGAGACAACAGUAUAUUAUUGUAAAAACUAGCCACUAUAGCUUAGAUUGAGAGGAUAGUGGGCUGAUAUAUCAUAUUGUUACUCUUAUUAACUAUUACCACUGUAUACUUAAAAAAAAUAAAAAUGUACAUUGUUGUGCUAAAUUUGGAUAGGAAUUUUAAAGAAUGGUGUUGUUUUCUUUCAUUUUUAUCAUCAAAUAUCAUUAUGAUUAUAAUUAUAAUUAUUAUUAUUGUUAUAUUCUUGCAAGUUAAAUUUGAAUUCGCUUCUUUUUAUUUAUAAGUGUAAUUUAUGCAUAUAUGAUCCCUAUAACUUUAGAAUUAUAAGUUUCAAUCAUAGACUUAUUUAUUUAUUUAUUUAUUUCAAUCUCGGAGUGUUGAGAGAUGUUAAGAAAAUAGAAAAGAAAGAAAGAAAUUCAGUCAGUCACAUUAUGGUUAUGAAAAAAGCCAAUCUUGUUAUCAAUGAAUUUGUCUUCCAAAUAUGAGUUCUAUGAAGAUGGUUUAGAAUUUUAAUCUUGUUAAAAACAGCGAUCGAGAUUUAGAAAGUUUUUUUUAUUUGGUUUGAUUUUAGAUAUUUAGACGGAUUAAAUGGUGUUUUGGAGUUAAAAUGAAUUUAAUUAAGUUCUUAAAAUGUUUUUUUUUUUAAUGUUUUGAGAUAGAAAUAAAUUGAAAAAUAGUAUUUGAAGUUGCAAAACUCAUACUUUAAAUUCAAAUCAUCAAAAUGGUAAAAAUUCAAACUAGAAUGUGGCACCCAUUGUUUCUUAUUAAAAAAGGAAUAUUAGAAAAAAUAAAGCAUGGAAUAAAAGCUUUUUUAUGGUAAAAUGAACCAUUACUUUGAAUUAUGAUAUAAGAAGGUAAUAUACAAUUGUUUUUUUUUAAAUGUUCAUAAAUAUUAAAUGAGAAUGAAACUAUUUUGUUAUUUUUUAUUGUAUAAUUUUUACAGAAUUUUGAUGAUUAAUUAUUCUUUUAUGUUUUUCUUCUGUUGUGUACAAAUUAUUGAUUCAUGAUUUUUAUAUAUUUUUUAAUGAAAAUUGCUUUUAUUAUUCAUGUAUUUCUUCUUGGUUUUCAAAAAACAUGUUACUAUAUAUUUUGUUAUUUUUUAUUGUAUAAUUUUUACAGAAUUUUGAUGCUUAAUUAUUCUUUUAUGUUUUUCUUCUGUUGUGUACAAAUUAUUGAUUCAUGAUUUUUAUAUUUUUUUUGAAUGAAAAUUGCUUUUCAAAUCAUGAUAAAUAUUUAUUUUAAAAACAAUACUUCUAUUAAAAAAACAUGUUUUUUGAAAACCAAGAAGAAAUACAUGAAUAAUAAAAGCAAUUUUUAAUUGAAAACGCUAUAUAUUUUUAUUUUUUAAUUCAAAUCAUUAAUAUUUUUAUGAAUAAAUAUUUUAAUUAUUUGUAGUUUUUAUUCAAAAACAUGCUACUAAUUAAAAAAAAACUUGUUCUUGUCAAACAAAAAUACAUGAAUAAGAAAUGAAGAACUCACAUAACAUAAUAUUUUUUUCUCUCCGCAAUUUAAAUCAUUGUAUAUUUUUUUUAAUAAAUAUUAAUUUUAAUUACCACAAAACUAAAUGAAAACAGAUUUUGAAAACCGCCACACAAGGGAAAAAAUUAGUAAAUAUAUUAAAAGAGCUAGACUUUUUAUUGUAACUCUGAUAUUGUUCAAAUAGAAAUAAAACAUCGUGGAUUACUCCGUGGAAAAACACUGCAAUCUCUAUUGUUGACCUACAAAUAAAAAAAUAUUGAUUUUAUGCUCUAGUCCCUAAAGCUUUUAAUUUUUAGUCAUUUUAAUUUAAAGUCUCUUAGUUUUUGUCUUCAAACUUCAUUUUUAUAAUAUUUCAGUUUUUAUAUUCCGAGAAAAGAGAGAGAAAUUUUUCACUCAUCCAUAUUUAUCCGACAAAAAAAUCAAUCUUAAUAUCAAUAAAUUCAUUUUAGAUUGGGAAGGUCAAUAAAAAUGCUUUUGCUCUUUAACCAUACCAAAAAAUAGAUUGAAGCAUUUUAUUAUAGCUUUGGUAUUGUUCAAGCAUUGAUAAAACCUAUGAAAUCUCUAUUGUCCAGUAAGAAAUAAAACACUGUUCAUUUUACACUUUGAUCAUUGGAGUUUUCAAUUUUUUUUCAUAUUUAAUCCAUGUAGUUUUUAUUUUGUUCAUUUUAGUCUUGGAACUUUAUUUUCACCACAUUUUUGUUCCUAGAUUCUAAGAGAGGAGAAGGAAAAUAGUUAAAAAACAAAGAAGAUAAAUAUUUUAGCUAGCCAUAAAAGAGACUAAUGUUGGUGUUAAUGAGUUAAUUUUAGAAAGAUAAAAUUAAUGGAUGUGGUAUUUCUCCUUUAACCAUGAUGGAAAAAGUAAAUUGAGGCCUGAAAUUUUUUUUUUCCUUCUUGAUUUAUGAUUUUUUAAGUGAUUAAAUAAUAUUUUGGGAUUGUAAAUGAAGUUACCAAGGUUCAUAAUAUUUAUUUUUAAUUGUUUUUAGAUGAAAAGAAGUUGAAGUUUUGAUUUUAAGGGUCCAAAUAUCUCAGAAUCUUCUAGUACUCGAAAAUUGUACCGGUAGAUAACACGUAGUCUAACCAAGCAGAUAAUGUGUUGUCUAUUUAAUUAUUUUUUUAUAUAAAAAAAUAGGUUAGACUACAUGUAUUCUGCCCUUCCUUCCAGACUUAGGUGUGAUGGCUCUUCACCUUUUGUUUUUUUCUUACAUUUUUUAUUUUUUUAAUAAAAUUAUCUUUAAAUAAAAUUAUUAAAAUUAUUUUUGAUUGAUGAGUUUAAGUAUUGAAAUUGAAAGGACAAAGAGAGAGCCAAACUUAGAAAAUAGAUGUUGGUGCAGUCUAAACUGGAACACUGUUCGGUAAUUGGGUCAUAUCUCGAGUUCCAGGUGUCCAAAUGACCUUAACUUUUUGAAAAUAUUUGGUAAGACAUAGGUCUAUAACUUUCAUGUGGAGUCCAAGAUUUAAAAAAGUCGUUUUUAAGUCCAAAUUAUAGCAACAACGGAGAAGUCCGAAUCUGUCCUGUAGCUCAGACAUUGUUCAGUGUUGAACCCAUAUCUCGAGUUCUAGAAGUCCAAAUGACCUCAAUUUUUUUUCCUGGAAAGAUAAGACAAUUUCCUAUAACUUUUGUACGUACAGGUGGUUCUAGUUCUGAUGCUAACAAUGACGUUUUAUUUAGACAAGAAGAUAAGAGUUUUCACCAAGUCAAGAGUUGGCCACCCACUUAACAAUUAGUCAUCAAAUCAAUAGUUUCAAAUUUUGGCCUAUAAAAAAAGGCAUUUGCCAUGUAUUUAGGGGCUUGGUUGUUCAUAUCAAGAACUUGUUCUUGCUCUCUUUUUUUAUAUUUGUUUUUAUAAUUAUUAAGUUUUACUUUCAUUAGUAUUUGUUUAUGCUUUUCAUUUUCUUUCCUUUACUUAGUUAAUUUGUAUCUUAUUUAUGUUCUUGUUUUGUUUAUUUAUGUUUCUCUUCUUCAUUAUGUUUAGUUAAGUUUAUUAUGUCAAGGUGAAAAAGUUACACUAAUGGUGUAAGAAUAAGUAUAGUGUAAACUCAACAUGGACCUUAAUGUUUAAUAUUAACAUGUCUUAUCUUUUUAUCUCACUAAUUCUUAAUACCUGCUUGUUAAAUGGUUAAUCUAGAUUUGUGUUGUACAAUACUUGGUACAACAAAUGUUUGACACUCUCAUAGCCUAACCGUAUGGUAUUAUGGUAUUACCUAUACCUAUGUUGUGCAAGGAACUUGAUUUGUUGUUAACAUAAGUUAGCAUCAUGAAUUCCUGAAAAUAUUUAAAAGUUUGGUAUUACUUAAAUAAGAUAAUUAAUAUAAUCAUGUUAAUAAUUUAUAAUAAGCUAUUAAUGAUAAAUCAUCCGAUUGGAACCUCUUUUGUGUGUGGUUUCUAGUUGAAUAAUAAGAGUUUAUAGUAUACUUGUUUGAAAUACCAUUAGUGGAUCCUCUAACGUUGACAUUUGUUUUUAUCAUUGUUUAAUCUUUAUAUUAAUCUUUCAUCUCAAAGUUCUCAUCAACUUUUUCUUCAUCUUCUUUAUUAUUAUUAUUGUUGUUGUUGUUGUUGUUGUUAUUGUUAUUGUUGUUGUUGUUGUUGUUGUUGUCGUUGAUGUUGUUAUAUUAUUGUUGUCUAUAAUUUAUACAAUUAACCUCCCUGUGGUUUGACCCCGUCUUGCCUGGUUAUUUAUUACUUCGACACUCUUACACUUAGAAGAAAACAUCAAUCUUUUGGUCGUGUCAAAUUGCACUAUAAGAUAGCGAUGUGUUUUUUUUUAUAUUGUUCCUUAAGAACAAAAAAGUUUAUUUUGGUACCUAUAUUUUUGAAGUUUUACAUAUUUUUUUGGUAAUGCAUUUUUACAUACUUUAGGUGCGCUCGAGCUUGAUUUUUUUUGUCCGUCACCUUUUUUCUUCUCUUUUCAAUCAAUAUUUUUGUCUUAAAAGAAAACAAAAUAAAAUUCUAUUCUAAAUAAAAUUAUUGAUAUGAUAUUAAAAACAUUAUCAUGCUGUGCUAUAAUUUUUAAAUAAAAUUAUAGUUUUUAUGGUAAUAUUAAUAAUUGUUUUAUAAAUGAUAAACAUCAACAACAACUGCAAAUUAAAUUAAUUUUGUCUUAAUGAUAAUUUUUUAAACUCAUAAAAUCGUAGCUAAUGGAGUGAUUGUUGGAGAGGUUUAUAUUUUUUAUUACAAAACUAAUAAAUCUAAAAAGGAUGAAUUAUUUUGUGUAAGAAUUUUUAGGCCUAGAAAAAUGGGAUUUGUGCUUGUGAUAAUUAUCUAGUAUUGGAGAUGAAAAGAAAGAACCAAAAUUUUAAAGGAAUAAAUAUAAUGAUAUUUUGAUUUGCAGUGUGGUAAUAAAUAGGAGCAACAUGGGAUCAUUCCUUUCAAAGCCAAAAAGAGGAAUUUAUUGAAGGGGAAAUAAGAAAUAUUUUGUUAUUCUUAAGAGGGGAUUCUUUCUUUUAAUUGUUGGUGUUCCUGUGAUUUCUUAUAUUUAGAUGUGAUUUAUUAAUAAUAAUAAAUAAAAAUAAUAAGAAAUAGAAAGAAAUUCAUCGUCUGGAUCGUAUAUCAACAUCCAAUUAUUAAAAAAAAAUGAAAAAAGAAAAGGUUCCAUCACAACUCAUAUAGAUACAAAUAGUGGAAGCAAGAAUAUUUGACAUAUUUCAUUUUUAAGCAGAAACUUGAUUUUUCUUCCUGAAGGGUUGCAGAACAUUUCCACACUUCAAGAUCUGCGUUUCCGCCCCUGGAAUCCAGACCUUAAAAGGCGAUUGAUGGGUGAAGAGAAUUACAAGAUCAAGCACGUCCCAAAUAUUUGGAUGGUUUGAGAAUCGUUGAUUUUCCAACCAAGAAAUGGAAAAACAUUAACCACAAUAGUUUCCACAGGAAGUCUUUCAAGGAUGAAAUGCUUUUGCUUUACUCCUCAAAUAUCAUCUCCUGCUUUCUGUUCAUUUACUUCAAUAUUCUGGUGAAGUAUGCUAUCCUCUACUGUCUUGUAUACCUAAAUUUGUGCAAUCUCCAGCGGAGAAACCAGUGUACUAGACUUCAAAAAAUCCAUCUUAAUGAUGAACGAUGUGUUUAUCUAUUUGCAUUUCCUUAAUAUCUGGAUUAUUAUCUAAUUAUUCUAUAGAAUUGCCCUUCUUGUAGAUUUCUUAAGGAUUGAAUCCUUAGAAAAUCAAGGAGACAGAUCUGUCUUUCGGGUUACCAGUGAAAAUUUAUUCUUGUUUUUUUCGUUUGGAAGUGGACUUGCUAGAUAAGAAACACGUCUAUUAUAUUGACAACAGUUCAUAUAAAUUAUACAUCCCAUUCCGUGUUUACAUAGAAUCAAAGGCGUAGCAGAUAUUGUGUCUACAUCGCAUUAAAAUUUGAAUAAACCAUCGGAUGCACGAGUAUGAACUACCCUGUAUCCCUAGUUAGCCUAGAUGCUACUGUGUCCUCUUAAUGUUCUCUAAUACAGGCGUGAUAAGAACAUUUUAUUUGAUGAUAGAGCUUUCUUCUCGUCCCAUGUAUCAAGUCACUACAUUUCCAUUGGUAUUGUCGAUGAUUGCUGAUAACCUCUCCAAGAAAAGGUUAAAGGCUUCUGGUGGACUAAACAUGCUUAUUCUGACAUACUUUGGACUAGCCCCAAACCUCUCCCCACUUCUUGCUAUUAUCUUAUGCUCUCUUAAACGACUCUCCCAGUCUAUAUCCUCCUUGCUGUGCAACCAUGCAAAAGCUGUUUGCAGAAAAGCAAAAUAUGUCAGAAGAGAUUUUCAAAUGAGCCUACAAUAAAGUUGGGGUGUCCUAUUUCAAAAGUAACAAAAAUAAUAUUGAUCUAAUUAUGAGCAUUACCAGGAUUUGAAUACAUGUACUUUCCAGUGAAGUUGCAGUAAUCUCGUGGGUACUUUGGCAGACUGAAGACUCUGCUGUUCUUGACAACAUUUCGCAAUCUCUCCCACCUUUCUUUCAGAAUGCUAUGGCUAUACUCAAAGAAGUUCUCUGAAUCAGCAGUCCUACAACCUUCGCCAAGCACUCCAAGAAUCUUCGCAGCUCGAAUCUGAGAUUCUUUAGAUACACCGAUGGAACUGAUCUGCAUGUAUUCAGUCAUCUUUCUAGCUACCUCUUUAUCCUUAACAAGUGCCCAGCUUCAAUUUGGAAACAAAAUAAUUAGCAGAAAGGAACAAGAAUGAACUACAAAUUAAACACAGGCAAAGAAGAAUGAUAUAUUGUUGCGAUCUUCUUAUUCCAACAAGUCAUGCAUGGCGACAUUAAUCUCUUUAACUAAAGAAUGUCCUGCUCACCCAAUCCGGGAACCAGCAUGUCCAGUGCAUUUGGAAAAUGUGAACAGCAUAAUAUCAUGAUCCAAGGGUUGAGUGAUAGGCGUGUAUUGUGGCCAGUAGUAGGCAAGGUCAUAGACAAGCUUCCCUUCUCCACGGUUCACCACAGCUUCUCGGACAGCACCGUCAGGAUUAUUCGGCGAGGUUACGACCUCAAUAUAAGGUCCAUCCUUAUCGAAGGUGUGCGCAUCUCCCUCCCAUUUAUAGAGUCCUGAACGCAGGAAUUCUGCCUGAUCUUUAUAUCCCUGCAGGCAAUGAAUAUCACAGGCACAUAAAUGAAUUAAUCUUCCACGACGAAUGAAGGGCGCCGGAGAAUUGACCUGUCCUCUUUUUUUUUCUUUUUUCUUUUCACCAUAGACGCACCAUGAGGUAAGAAACCAAUACAUGUCUUGAAUUAGUAUUUUGUCAGUCAAGUAACAUGAACAGGAAAUUAAGAAAACUUGCAAUCACAUUAUGGAUUAAUUAAUCACAUAUGCGUAAAUAAAUGCAUGUGAAUAAGCAUGCAAGCAGUCAAGCAUUUGCAACUCUGUUGAUGCCCAAUUGCAUAUGAUAUAAUUAAAUAAACUCAAGAACCGAGGUUCUGCAGCAAAGUUUGUGGAAAAUGUGGGUAACAUGCAAAGUUGUCUGCUCCAAGGACCGCAACAAGGGAGAUGGAUUUGCUAUUUUCUAAGAUGAAACAUCUUUGUUCCUGCUCGCGUAGCAAACGCCAGGCGCAAGUUCUCCCAAGUUUUGACACAAACGAGACAUGGUCAUGUUACCUAAAUCUUAGUUUCUCUUUACGAAACAUGUUUGUCGCCAUGUCUUUUGUUACAAACAGCACUCAUUUUUAUUUAUUGAUUAAUGAGUUAUUUUAUUUGUAAGAAAUACCAUUAACGUGAUGUUCUUAUUAAAUUAAGCUCUUUCUUUUUCAGAAAUAAUCUUAAUGAUCUCGCACGUACGACUUUUUCACUGAUGGCUGCGCCGGCCAAGCUUAAUUUCCUUAACCAGGCAAAGAUGGCUCUCUAAAUAAAUAAAUACAUGAGAAAUUAAAAAAGUAAACUAAAUUUAAGCAGUUCUGUUUUAUGCAAGACAAAUAAACAAAAAAAAAGAAGAUUAUAUUAGAUACUCUUGUUGGUUUGACUUUGACUUAUCAAAACUGUCUUGGCUGGUUUCAGAUCUCCUAGGUAUACAUCCUUAGAGGAUCUGACUCCUCUAAUGUUAGAGGUGACCCGCCUCAUCAUGUCAAAAAACUAAAAUUAGAACGUUGAUUUUGAAAUUUAUAAUUUGAAUUUUCUCAAAUAAAAAAAUAACUAUUAAUUUUAAAAAUAAAAAAAGAUCUGCCCACCAAGUAAAAUAAAUCUCAAAUACUGUGUUUUAGAUUAAUAUAUAGAUUUUCUUAAUAUAACGGAUCAUGCUAUCCCUAACUUAAAGGGAGAGCUCAUUCCAAUCGUUUGAAGAUCGUCAUUGAGUUCCAUGAGUAGGUUAUUAAGCCAGUAUUGAGUCUGGUUUUACACCAUCAGAUCAAGUGAAAGCAUGUAAAGACUUGCACCAAAUUAUGUAAACUGAAAGAAGUUUGAUGAGGAAGGGAGCGGUGGCUACCGAGUAAAAAGGAGCAGCAGCUACAAGACUGACGGGGUGGCGAUCAGCCGGAGAAGAGAGAGCAUACAGAGCAGCCAUUAAGAGCUGUGUUGAACCUGUCCCAACCACGAUGUGGCGAUCCUCUGUUACUGCGUUUCCAACAACACGAUGCAGUCGCUUUAUGGCAUCACCAAGUUGUGGCUGCAAAAACCAGCAAAUGUUGCUAAUAUCACUGAAAUAGCUCAUCAAAUCACACCCUUCAAUCAUCAACGUACACUUGUCUCCCAUUUUCCUCCAGUAUGGCUCGAACAACGUUGGAUCUCCCCUGCAUUUCCGCAUAACACAUCACUUCCUCGUACGUUAAGAAAAACUCUAUCCCAGAUAACAACACUACGUGAUAAUUAUACCAAACUAAAACUGUUAAACCGUAAAUGACUAUAGCCAGGCCAUUGCACCGGCGCAAUGUAGCCACAACGAGGUGGUGUAUGCUUUUAAUUUCCGAUAGAAAACAAAAGAAUUUAAUAAACGUGAACUUACUGAUCUAGAUUGAUCAUGGAAUCCGGUGAGAGACUUGUCUUUGUGGGCUUAGUUGUCGUCGGAGAAGAGUUUUGGUUAUUGGUUGCUCCAUUCUCUAAACCGCCCAUUUUUCUCUUCUCUUUUCUUCUGUUCUUUUGGUUUCCUCAACUACAGUCAGUGCUCGUGGUUUCUCGUAUACGUGCUUUGAUGGGCUAUGCAAAUACCUGUAUUUAUACUAAAUUAAUGAUGCGUCAGAAACUCUUUUUUUUUUUUUUUCAAUUCUGUAUAUGAGAGUACAUGUUAUAUUAUACGUGGGGGUGUUUUUAUUCUUGCUUUGCUUUGGUUUUUUUAUUUUUAUUAUGUUACCAAGCAUCUAGACUUUUGUAGUUAUAUUAUUCUAUAUUUUCUCAAGAAAAGUUGCAAGAUUAUCUGUCAAAUGCAAUUUUGCUUGUUUCCAUUCCAUAAUUAUUCCUAACCCAUAUUAACAUAUUAUCAUUGAUGGAAAGAUACAAUGAAUUCAAAACAUCAUAUGUGUUGUCUUAAAAAAAUUAGUUUGUAGUUAAAAAUAAUUUUUAAAAAAUAAAAACAAUAUUAUUUUAAUGUAUUUCCAAGUAAAAAGCAUUUUGAUAACAAAAUCAACUAUAUUAUCAAACAAACCCUGAAUUUUGAUGAUAACAUUUGAGAAAUUAUUAGUUUUUUUUAACGUACUAAACUGAUAUAAGGGGUGUAUUUUUAAUUUAUCUAGAAAAAAAAAAUCAAUCUCAAUACCUUUAUUGUUGAAAAAAAAACUAACAUGCAAUGUACAUAUAUCACGCUGCUCACGGGCUCCAAAACCUAUCAAAACAGAAUCUGAUCGCACGCGCGCGCGCACAUACAUGAUAUUUAAAAUACACAUAGCAUAAAUCAUGAGAGAUAUUGUAGAAAAUGAAGUUCCUAAAUGAGAAAUAAAUGAGAAACAUGCAAUAUAUCAACCAAUGAAUUAAGAGUGUAUUUAAAAAUGUGAUGGAAUCUUGCUUCUAAUUAAGGGUUUUAAAUUUUUUAUGUUUUUUAAUUAUUUUGAUGUGCUGAUAAAAAAAAAAAUUUAAAAUUCAUUUUAAAAAAAUUAUUUUAGAAAAGCUCAAUUCCCAAUCAAUUUAAUAUUGAAGGAUAGAAUCAUAAAAAAAAUCAAUUUAGAAAAAUAACUCGAGAUAACUAGUGAUAUUUUUAAAAUCAAUGAAAAAAUAAAUAAAUAAUAAUAAAGCCUACUCAGCCUAGCCUCCAAUUGAAUAAAUGAUAAAGGAUAAAAUUAAAAAAAAAUCAAGUAAACCCAGACGAACCUUCUAUAUUUAGGUUAACCUCUAAACUCACAACCCUUAAAAUCCUGGAUCUGGACUUAAUAUAGAGGCUAAAUCCCUGACCAAUUUAAUAUUAAAGGGUGAAUCCAAAAGAAACUUGGGCAUUUAUUACUUGGAUCAUAUUCGCGAUUUAUUUCCAUACUUGAACAAAUAAGAAUUUGGAAGGUUUAAAUUUUGUAAUUGUCGCUUCUAUAAUAGAACAGUUAAAUAGGAAAAACAAUAACAGUUUAAAAAACUUGUCAAAGUAAAAAAAAAAAAAACAAUAACAGUGAAAAAAGUUAGAAUCAAAUUUUAUAGGAAAAAGAGUCAAGGAAGAUGAAAAUAUGAAAAAGUUAAUUUAAAAAACCAUUUCAAACAAACCAAAUAGAAAUCAAAAAAAUGAAAAUCAAAUUUGAAAGAUUUAAAAAGUAAAAGGGGAUGAAAUUAAAAAAGAAUUCUGAUUUUAUAUAUUAUUCAAAAAAUUAUUACAAAUAUUGAAGGAUGAAAUUAAAAAAAAAAAAAUUUUAAAACUCACCCAAAGAAAAUUCAACAAAGAACAAAAAAAAAAAACCUUGAGAUAAGUUGAGUCAUUUAAAAAAUAAGUGAAAAACUCUAUAGAAAGCUAAUAAAUAAAAAUAACAGAGCUUAAUCUCUAAUUGAAUAAAUAUUAAAUGAUAAAAUUAAAAAAACAUGAGCUUAAAAAAUAAUUAAAAAAAAACAAGCAAACAUGAGCGAAUCACUUAAAGUCAAGCUAAUAUCUAAAACUUGCAACCUAUGCGAUCCUAAACCCGAACACAAUUAAGAAGCCUAAUUCAUAACUAAUUUAAUGUUGAAGGAAGAAAUCGAAAAAAAUACAAAUUUAAAAACUUUGUCAAAGUAAGAAAAAUAACAAUCAAAAGAAUGAAAAUCAAAUUUGAUAGGAAAAUAAACUUAGGGAGAAUGAAAUAAUAGAAAAAAAUAUUAAAAAUAAUCUCAAACAAAAUAAAUAGCAAUCAAUAAAUUGAAGAUCAAAUUUGAAAGAUAAAAAAAGUGGAAGAGGGGGAUGAAACUGAAAAGGAAUUCUAAUUUUGAUUAUUAUUCAAAGUAAAAUAAAUAAUAAUUAAAAAGGACAGUGACCAAAAGUUAAGAGAAAAAAUUAAAGGGAUUGGUUUGAAAUUUUGAACAAUUUGACUCAAAAUUUGAGGUGGAAAGAGAAGGAGGAAAAACAAGAAAUCGUUGUCAGUAUCAAAUACGAGGUGUGUUUAAUGCACAUGCCAUCCCGUCGUUGAGAGGAUACGAAAACCUUUUUAAAGUGUCAUUAAAUAUCGUGUUUGGUGACCAGACAAAUUGAUAAGCACCACUUGAAAGGUACUGGGAUCAUCGACUUGCUUGUGCGUGCCAUACACGUGUUUAAAGGUUUUUUUAAAAAUAAUGUUUAAUAAUAUUCAUAUAUAAAAGUGCUCUGAUUCUCUUUGAUAUUUUAAAAAAAAAGGCCACAAUAAAAGGACCGAAAGGCUCCUAAAAGAGAAUUUAGUGGAAUAUGUCAUUUAACUAUUUAAAAAUAAAAUUAAAAAUUAAAAUUAAAAUAAUCCUAAAUAUAUAUUAAUUUUUUUUUUAUUUGAGGGAUAACUAUAUAAUUUUAUUGUGCAUAAAUAAUAAGAAGAUUAAUAUGAACACAUUACAUUGCCCGUAAUGUCUAAGAUAAAGGUUUUAUUGUUUACGAAAUUUUUUGGUAUUAUGUUAUUAUAAUAAACAGUGUUUAGAUUCUUGAUUUUAAUUUUUUUAAUUUAAUUUAAUUUAAUUUGUUAGACUUUCCCUUUAUUAAUAUUUAAUAUAAGUGUGCGUUUAGAUUAGUAUUAUUAAGACAAUUGAUCUUUUUAUUAUUUUUAUUCAGUUGAUUCUCUCAAUUUUACCUAAAUUAUUUUUUAAAAUAUUUUUUUCUAUUGCUUAUGUUUUUUUCAUUAAAAAAAGGCAUAUAGCACACUCGAACGUCCACCAACACAUGAUUUGCUUUGUGCAAGAAAACAGAAAUCCAUGACUGAUGGUCGGUCGGCUUGAAUAUCAUGUGCCAUCAAUGAUGAUGAUGCAUGUGCUAUUCACUGAUAAAACAUGGGGCUUUUCAAACGUUCUUUGUAUUUAGACUUGUUAUUAUUAACAAAACAAUUAAAAGAUAAAUAAAUUAAAAUAUUGUUUCGGUUUCACGAGUGAGAUGAACAGUUAAACAACUGGCUUUCUUUUUUUCAUUUUCUUUUUUAUCUUUUAUCAUACCUUUUUAUAUAGCCUAUUUAGAAAACAAUUAGGCUUGGAAUUAUAAUAAAAAUAUAAAAUUUAAAGAUAAAAAAUUAACAAGUAAAAUAUAAAUAAAAUAUAUAGCAAACCACACAAUAAAAGUCCUUCUAUUUCAUUUGUAAUUAUAAAUUCAAUUCAAUAUUAAUUUAGAUGUUUAUUUUUCACCCACUUUUGUGUAAAACGUGCUAGCCUGACUUGCCAGACCCAACAUCACUUGAUUUUUUUAAAAAAAAAAUAUUUUUUUAAUUAAUGCCCUUAUAUAUAUAUAUAUAUAUAUUCAAAAUAAUUUUUAAAUUUAUAUGUAAAUAAUGCCUCAUUUUUCUUUUAUUUUGUUUAUCUAGACUCUUUUAAAUAAAUAUUAGUUUUUAGUUAUUUUAUAUGCAUUUAAAUUUUAGAGAGAUUAUUUUAAUUCAUCUAUAUUUUUUAUAUAUUUUAUAUAAAUGAAAUUUAUUUUAAAAAAAUUUAAAUAUUUAUUUUUGGAUAAUAUUUUUAAUAUAUGUAAUCUUGUAUAAUAUUUUUUUUUAUCUUUUAUUUAUUAAUUAAUUUCAUGUGUAUCUAUUUUUAUUAUCACUUAUUUAAAUAAAAAAUUAAUUUUUGUAAACAGAGUUGUGAAUUUUUGUAAAUUAAUUUUUAUUAUCUUGGUCUAUAUGUGACUUUCAAUUUUUUAGUUUUUAUCUUUAUUUAUCAUUAAUGACUUUUUAUUUAUUUAUUUAUUAAUAUAUAUUAAUUUAUUUUAUUAGAUGUACCUAUAAGUUUUUUAAUUUUAAUUAAAAAAAAUUUAAAAACAUAUAUAUUUAUUUUUUAUAUAUAAAAAAAAAUCCUUCCCACAACAAAGUACAAGUGAAAGAGCUAUUAAAAACUAGCCAGUAUAGGUUUGAUAAAGAGGAUAUUGGGCUGGUAUAUCAUAUUAUUACUGUUAUUAAUUUUUACCACUAUAUAAUAAAAAAUAACAACAGUGCAUUAUUGUGCUCAAUUUGGGCGGGACUUGUCGCACGUGUGUGGCGGCACGGCGAUCGUCCACCCUCAAGGAAAAAUCAGAAUAAUUUAUUCCUGGCAAAUAAAAUAGGGAGAGACAAGGAAUUCUUGUCUCUACAAGUGAAAAUAUGGACUGGGAGUCGCCACCUAGUAUUCUGGUUACUAGGAACCUUAACUGGUCUUUAGAGAUCGGGUACGGAGACUAGUUGCGUAAAGGGAAGGUAUUAGCACCACAACUACGUCCUACUUAAGGUAGACUGCAUUGUUUUAAUGUCUGAUAAAAUCUAAAAUCGUGUUGUGGUUUUUUUGAAUUUUUGGUUCGUUUACGGUUUAAGAAAAGUCCUCCUCUGUAAGGAGGUCCUUAUCUUUAUCGGGUAAAAAAAGUACUAUUCGAAGUCGUCAAAAGAAAAUAUUUUUUUAAUAUCAGGAAUACGAUUUACGCAUAAAUUCAUAAUCCCUGAUACUAAAAUCAAACAAAAUAAAAUAUUUGUUGUUUUUUGAAAUUUUGGCCAAUGUUCUCUUGACUUUAAUAAACUGGUUAUUAAAGCCAAAAUGCAUGCUAAAAUAUUGUUUUUUGACAUAUGAAAAAUACGAUAUGAUUUUUUAGAUUUGAGACACUUGGCCGUAUGUACAAAAACAUUUUUUUAUCUUUUUUUCAAUUUUUUUUUAUUUUUGGAAGUUUUUGCCGAAAACCGAGUAUUUUAAUACCGGAUUUAUAUUUUUACGAUGUAAAAAUACUGCCCGAUAUCAAUCAAAAUGACAUACAAACGACGCGGAAAAAUUAUAAAAUGCCGAAACAAAUAUUUUUGAUUUUUUAUGUUGUGUGAACAGUACCGCGGGACGAAAACCGGGUAUUUUAAUACCGAAUUUAUAUUUUUACGAUGUAAAAUACAGACCGAUAUUAAGCAAAAUUGAUAAAAAAAAAAAUGUGCUAAAAAAUUGUAAAAAAACUUCUGAAAAAAAAAAUUGAAAAAAAAAAAUUGAAAUGGGCCGGGUCCGGUAACCAGCCCUCUUCAGCUGCAGAACGUGAAUUAAUUCACGUUCUGCAUGCAAACGAGGGAGGCAGCAAACGGAGAAGGCGACAGGGCGGCGAGAGAUUACCUGCGGUGACGUCGUGGCGGUGCUGCCGGCGGCGUAGGCACGGUGGCGGAGGCCGGCGGUGGUUCUCUCUCUCUCUCUUCUGUUUUUCUUCGUUUUCUUCCCUGCUGCUUCUUCUUCUUCUUCUUCUUCUCUGCCCUCUCUCUUCUCUUCUCUUCUAUCUCGGUUCGUCUCCCUCUCCCCUCUGUUCUUCCUCUCCUUCUUCGGUUCCCUUCCCCUGUUUUUAUAGGCAAAAACAGGGGAAGGCCGAAUGGUGGGGCGGCCACUAUUGGCCGCCCCUCCACUAUCUGUUCAAAAGGUGGCAAGUGGGCUGGUGUGGUAGGUGUCUUAUUGCGCAAAAAUAGGGAAAGAGGUUAGGCGAAAAGGGAGAAGAAAAAUCUUCUUCUUCCCCUGCCUCGCGUGUCCAGGGGAAGAAGAAGAGCUACAGUGCCGUCAAAACGGCACCGUUUUGGGCAUCUGUAUUUUAUUUUUUUUUUUUUUGCAACAGUGAAUGAAACGGCGCCGUUUUGGUCAAAACGCGCCGUUUCAUUUAAAAGGAAAAGGCGCCAAAAGCAUCAGAUUCAAAUUUCGGCCCUCCAUUUGCGCGCGUUUUACAAUUUAGUCCUUGGUCUCGGAUUUCUUCAAUUAAGUCCCUAAUUGGCCAUUAAACUUCAAUAUUUAUGCAAUUAAGCCCCUAAUUUGACCAAAUUAACUUCCAAAAAUUUAAAUUUGACCCCAGAAAAUUAAUUCCUCCUAAUUAAAGCCCAAAUUAACUCCAAAAUCAAUUUUUCUUGCAAUUAAAAUCUUCAUAAAUGCAAUUAAACCUUCAAUAAAAUUUAAUUGAGUCCAUAAACUUCUAAUUUUGCAUUUUUCUUCCUCAAAAUUGAAUUUUCUUUAUCAUCGGGGCUCUCAUCAGUCAAUGAUAUACUGUCAAAAAUUAAUUUUUAUACUUUUGAACAUCCUCAAUCAAUUUUUGAACAUUUUUAGAGCGCUCUGGCAUUUUUUCACUGUUAUAUUUUUUGAUAAUAUAUUUUUUUGAAUUUUUUUAUAUUUUUUUUUAUGUGGGGACCCAAAAAUGGGUUACAACAGGACUUUUCAAGAACAAUGUUGUUUUCUUUCAUUUUGGUCAUCAAUGAUGAUGUUGUUUUUGCGUAUUCUUGGAAGUUAAAUUUGAAUUUGCUUCUCUUUGUACUCAUUGUUUUAGAGACAUAAGAAUUUGAAUUUAUAGUAAAAAAAAAUUAAAAAAACAAGUACCAAAAUAACUAAUAACAAUAUUAUCUAUUGUUCGAAUGAUGCAUAAAAAUAUAAUUUCAUCCUUAAAGUUUAAUUUAUGCAUAUUUGAUCUCUAUAGUCUUAGAAUUAUAUGUUUCAAUCUUGGACUUCUUUUUUUAUUUAUUUAUUUUAGUCUUUAAGUGUAGAGAGAUGCUAGAAAAAAAAGAAAAAAAAGACAUCACUCAGUCAGUUAAAAAAAUCAAUCUUGUUAUCAAUAAAUUUGUCUUACAUAAAUAAGUUCUAUAAAGAUGGUUUAGAAUUUUUAUCCGGUUAAAGUCAAAAACACAAAUUGAGGCUUAGAAUUUUUUUUUCUUUGGUUUGAUUCUAGAUGUUUAAUAGAUUGGAGGGCAUUUUGGGGUUAAAAUGAGUUUAAAGAGGUUCUUAAUAUAUACAUGUGUGUGUGUGUGUUUUAAAGUAAAAAUAAGUUGAAAAAUAGGUUUUGAAGUUGUAGAACUCAUACUUUAAAUUCAAAUAAUCAUGAAAGGUCAAAAUUCAAACUAGAAUGUGGUGCCUAUUGUUUUUUAUUAAAAAAAAAUAUUAGAAAAAAUAAAGCAUGGAAUAAAAGAUUUUUUAUGGUAAAAUUAACCAUUACUUUGUGAAUUAUGAUAUAAGAAGGUAAUAUGCAAAGUUUUUUAAAAAAUGUUCAUAACUAUUAAAUGAGAAUAAAACUAUUUUGUUAUUUUUUAUUAUAUAAUUUUUACAUAAUUUUGAUGAUUAAUUAUUCUUUUAUGUUUUUCUUCUAUUGUGUACAAAUUAUUGAUUCAUGAUUUUUAUAUUUUUUUAAUGAAAAUUUCUUUUCAAAUCAUAAUAAAUCUUUAUUUAGAAAACAAUACUUCUAUUAAAAAACAUGUUUUCUAGAAACAAGAAAGAAAUGCAUGAAUAAUAAAAGCGAUUUUUAAUUGAAAACGAUACAUUUUUCCCUUUUUUAAUUCAAAUAAUUAAUAUUUUUAUGAAUAUUUAUUUUAAUUAUUUUUAGUUUUUAUUCAAAAACAUGCUACUAAUUAAAAAAAAAAACAUGUUCUUGUCAAACAAAAAUACAUGAAUAAAAAUUGAAAAACUCACCUAACAAAAUAUUUUUUUUCUCCACAAUUUAAAUCUUUGUGUUUUUUUUUACAAAUAUCAAUUUUAAAUACCACAAAACUAGAUGAAAAAAGAUUUUGAAAACCGCCGCAUAAGGGAAAAAAUUAGUAAAUAUAUUAAAAGAGCUAGACUUUUUAUUGUAACUCUAUAUUGUUCAAAUAGAAAUAAAACAUUGUGAAUUACUUCGUAGAAAAACAAAGCAAUCUCUAUUGUUCACCUACAAAUAAGACAAUAUUAAUUGUAUACUCUAGCCCCUAAAGCUUUUAAUUUUUUAAUUUUUGGUCCUUUUAGUUUAAAGCCCGUUAGUUUUGGUCUUUAAAUUUCAUUUUUAUAAUAUUUCAUACCCUGUAUUCUAAGAGAGGAGAGAACAACUUCUUACUGAUUCAUAUUUAUUUCACACAAAAAUCAAUCAUAGUAUUAAUAAGUUCGUCAUCUUAGAAAGAAAAUGUAAAAUGAAGGUGCCUUUUCUAUUUAACUACACCUAAAAAUAGAUCAAAACAUUUUAUUAUAGAAACAAAACACUAUUCAUUUUACACUUUUAUCAUUGUAGUUUUUAAAUUUUUUUUUCAUAUUCGAUCCAUGUAAUUUUUGUUUUGUUCAUUUUAGUUUUCAAACUUUAUUUUCAUCACAUUUUUGUUCCUGGAUUCUAAGAGAGGAGAAAGAAAAUUGUUGAAAAACAAAAAAAAAUAUAUUUUUUAGCUAGCCAUAAAAGAGACUAAUCUUGGUGUUAAAAACUUCAUUCCAAUUAUUAGGAAUUUUUAUUGAAUUUCUUUAAGUUUGUACGGAAAAAACCAUGUUGUUGAUAAAAACAAAAAUCAUGGCUAUGUCAAAUUAUUGAAAUUAUUUCAAGUAUUUAUUUUAAUAGUCAUAAAAUCAAAUAUAAGCAGGUUUUAAAAUGACCCUGCGACUUCCUGUGGAUAACAAACUAGUAAACUAAACUAAAAUUGAGAAUAAAAUUGUAUUUUAAUCACAUUGUUUUUGUCUGUUACCUUUUUUCUUCUCUUUUCAAUCAAUUUUUUGUCUUAAAAAAUAGAGAAUAAAAUUGUAUUCUAAAUAAAAUUAUUGAGACGAUAUGCCAUGCUACAAUUUUUAAAUAAAAUUAUAGCUUUUAUGGUAAUAUUAAUAAUUGUUUUAUAAAUGAUAGACAUCAAUAACUAUGAAUUAAAUUAAUUUUUUCUUAAUGAUAAUUUUUCAAACUCAUAAAAUUGUAGCUAAUGGAGUGAUUAUUGGAGAGGUUUCAAAACUUUAUACUUUUUAUUACAAAACUAAUAAAUCUAAAAAAAAUGAAUUAUUUUGUGUAAGAAUUUUUAGGCCUAUAAAAAUAGGAUUUGUGCUUCUGAUAAUUUUUUUGUAUUGGAGAUGAAAAGAAAGAAUAAAAAAUUUUAAAAGGAUAAAUAUAAUGAUAAUUUGAUUUUCAGUGUGGUAAUAAAUAGGAGCAACAUGCAUGGGAUCAUUCCUUUUAAAACCAAAAAGAAGAAUUUAUUGAAGGGGAAAUAAGAAAUAUUUUGUUAUUCCUAAGAGUGGAUUCUUUUUUUUUAAUUGUUGGCGGUCAUAUGAUUUUUUAUAUUUAGACGUGAUUUGUUAAUAGUAAUAAAUAAAGAUAAUAAGAAAUAGAAAGAAAUUGAUCACCUGGAUCGUGUAUAGAAUAAAUAGUUUAAUGGAAGUCAGAAUUUUCAAAAAUAUUUGGAACAUUUCAUUUUUAAAUAGAUGAUUUUUUUUUCAAGUGUUCACAAUUAUAUAUUAAUCAAGCUAAUCCUUUGAAUCUAGAUCAAACUUGUAACCAUGUUUUUUUCAAGUCUGGCACCAAUCAAUUCGACUACAAAGAAUAAUUUUUAUUAAAAUAUGUGCAAUUUAUUAAAAACUUUCUUUAGAUAUAAAAUUUUGAGUAUUCAAUGAACCUAAUAUGCAUAUUUUUUUAAACAAAUUGCUUAUGAAUAUUGUAUGAAAAUAAAAUAUUUUUUUCUUUAUUAAAAAUAUUUUAUAUAAUUUUAUUAAAUUAAUUAUUCUUCUAUUUUUUUCAUAUAGUCAUGUAAAAAUUACCAAAGCAUUUGUUUGUUUGUUUGUUUACUGUGUCUUGUUUUUCAAAUCUAUAGGCAACUAGAUAAGCAAAUUAAAAUCUGCAGCAACCAUCCUUUGACAAAUGUUAUGAAUUUAGGCUAUGGGGUAGGUGGGAGGGUCGGAUUUUUUUAAUAACCAAGCAUUAUAUACUUUAUCUUUCGGCCCCCACCAACGCAGGAAGCACCUCGGCUGGUUCGUUGCCAUCACAGACGUUGACUUCAAAUAUUACUAGAUACAAAGUAAAUAAUCUUACAAUACUGUGAUGCACAGCAGAUGCAAAUCAGGACUUCAUUAGGGUUUGUCUGAGCUUGUAAUAUCCAACCAUGCCUUAUUUCAACUUCACUCAAGAGAUAGGCGAACCUGACUUGGUUACCGGGGAAAUUCCGGGGAUUAAAUCUGAAGCUAGUUUUUUUCUAAGCACAUCAGCAGCAGAAGGAUUACGCUCAUCAAGAGUCGCUGACAUCACAGGUGAGAGUUCUUCUUCAGAAUCUUUCAAAUCAAAUUAUGCAAAGCUUCCUGAUUACCUUAAGUCAUGCCUAGACUACUCUGCCAUUGUUUGUGGGAGAUAUGGUGUAGAGAUAGGAAAACUAGUUCGGCUUUUGUUGGCUGAAGGUCUUAUAGAAGACAGACCAGGGGAUAUCAUGGAGGAUGUAGCAGCAAAUGUUCUCAAGGAAUUGAUUGACCUAGGAAUGCUUCAAGAAGAACGACAAGGGACUGAAGUAAAAGUCCCUGCAUCGUAUCUCCGGUUAUGUAUUCUUAAAUUGGAGAAACAAGAUUUUGUUUCUAAAACUGCAAACUCACCUGUGCGUUUAGGGAUCAGAGAUGAUGGAAGGGAUAUCUAUCCUAAAGUUGAAGGCCUUCUAAUUCAUUCUCUGUUUAUUCUCGGUGCAGACCGCCGUGC
RNAcentral lists this long non-coding RNA (23899 nucleotides) under Populus tremula. RNAcentral's name for it is "long non-coding RNA (PTRE_LNC000516)". The record is from RNAcentral. Lineage: Eukaryota; Viridiplantae; Streptophyta; Magnoliopsida; Malpighiales; Salicaceae.